Molecule: ribosomal RNA, 491 nt
Filed under: uncultured bacterium
Lineage: Bacteria
Description: partial 16S ribosomal RNA
Rfam family: Bacterial small subunit ribosomal RNA
Source: RNAcentral
AGUGAACGCUGGCGGCAGGCCUAACACAUGCAAGUCGAACGGCAGCACAGUAAGAGCUUGCUCUUACGGGUGGCGAGUGGCGGACGGGUGAGGAAUACAUCGGAAUCUACUUUUUCGUGGGGGAUAACGUAGGGAAACUUACGCUAAUACCGCAUACGACCUUCGGGUGAAAGCAGGGGAUCUUCGGACCUUGCGCGACUGAAUGAGCCGAUGUCGGAUUGCUUGGUGGCGGGGUAAAGGCCCAACAAGGCGACGAUUCGUAGGUGGACUGAGAGGAGGAUCAGCCGCACUGGAACUGAGACACGGACCCGACGCCUACGAGAGGCAGCAGUGGGGAAUCUUGGACAAUGGGCGGAAGCCUGAUCCAACCAUACCGCGUGGGUGAAGAAGGCCUUCGGGUUGUAAAGACCUUUUGUUGGGAAAGAAAAGCAGCAGGUUAAUACCCCGCUGUUCUGACGGUACCCAAAGAAUAAGCACCGGCUAACUUCGUG